This 248-nucleotide unclassified non-coding RNA is filed under the name plant metagenome. RNAcentral's name for it is "partial contains small subunit ribosomal RNA, internal transcribed spacer 1, and 5.8S ribosomal RNA". The stretch from base 201 to 248 matches the Rfam family "5.8S ribosomal RNA", at positions 1 to 49 of the family's 154-position model. The record is from RNAcentral.
UCUCCGUAGGUGAACCUGCGGAGGGAUCAUUGCAGAGUUCAUGCCCUACCGGGUAGAUCUCCCACCCUAUGUUAUUAUUACUUUGUUGCUUUGGCGGGCCGUUAGGCUCCGGCCCGACUACCGGCCCCGGCUGGUAAGCGCCCGCCAGAGGACCCAAAACCCUGAAUAUUAGUGUCGUCUGAGUACUAUAUAAUAGUUAAAACUUUCAACAACGGAUCUCUUGGUUCUGGCAUCGAUGAGAACGCAGC